GGGCACUUGGCACAGGGGUAGCGCGCACGCUUCGCAUUUGUUUGCGUGAGGUCGAGGGUUCAAUUCCCUCAGUGUCCA
Molecule: non-coding RNA, 78 nt
Organism: Pholiota conissans
Lineage: Eukaryota; Fungi; Basidiomycota; Agaricomycetes; Agaricales; Strophariaceae
Source: the annotation of a GenBank genome assembly